CGUCCUCUCAGAGCAAAAUAACAUGACUAGCUGUAGGGGAGGAGACAAGCCAGCAGGGUUAGGUUUCAGGUUGAGAAUUUCAAUAAGUUAUGAAAUAAUAAGGGCGAUAUGUAAUGAAGCAAGAUAACUUUAAGUUUUAGAAGCACACAUAUAAACAAGGAAACCGUCUGGGAAACAGAAACAGACAUCAUGACCAUUACCAGAGAUGAACAUGCAAGAUAUUUUCCCAUGGGCUUCUUGAAGAGCCAGCAAAACUUCAGACCAUCUUGAUGGACACUCACAUCUAAUAACAGUACUCCAUCACAAUUACAUACUGUAAGUUGUUCAUCAAUUGGAUUCUGGAUGAUAUGGAUCAACUUGAAUUUCAGUUCUUUGCCACCACAAAAAAGAGUUGCUGUGAAUAUUUGCAUGGCAUUUUCUAUCCAUUGCCUUGGAUCAUUGCACCACUGAGAAGAACCAAGUCUUUCAGAGUUUAUUAUCGCAUAUUCUUGCUGUUACUGCAUACAAUGUAAUCCUGAUUCUGCUUGUUACACUCAGCAUCAGUUCAUAUUCUAGACUAUUUUCAUCAGAUGCAAGAAGAGGUGAUUUUCAUUUUGUGAUGGUAAAGUAAGAUCCAUUCAACACAAAGAAUGCCACCUAGGAGGCACAUAUUUAGAUCUGCAUAUAUUUAACCUAAUCUGAAUUGUCUUGAUCCCCAUCUUUAUUACUGAACAAUAGAAAUUGAUCAAAGGAAUAAUUUUAGGAUCCUAAAAGAACCUUAAAGAGCUUCUCAACAUACAAAAAGGAUUCCCAUGUGCAUAUACACUUUUCUUUUACUAGAACAUAAGCUCCUUGAUGGAAGAAACUAUCUUUCUGUCUCCUUGAAUUUUUACCCCUAGUUCUUGGCACAUAAAUAAACAUUUAAUAAAAUA
Long non-coding RNA from Antechinus flavipes (yellow-footed antechinus), 911 nucleotides. RefSeq lists it as uncharacterized. The record is from RefSeq and is a predicted model, not a curated record. NCBI's taxonomy places the organism in Eukaryota, Metazoa, Chordata, Mammalia, Dasyuromorphia, Dasyuridae. The transcript has 5 exons.